GAUGAACGCUGGCGGCGUGCCUAAUACAUGCAAGUCGAGCGAACAGACGAGGAGCUUGCUCCUCUGACGUUAGCGGCGGACGGGUGAGUAACACGUGGAUAACCUACCUAUAAGACUGGGAUAACUUCGGGAAACCGGAGCUAAUACCGGAUAAUAUAUUGAACCGCAUGGUUCAAUAGUGAAAGACGGUUUUGCUGUCACUUAUAGAUGGAUCCGCGCCGCAUUAGCUAGUUGGUAAGGUAACGGCUUACCAAGGCAACGAUGCGUAGCCGACCUGAGAGGGUGAUCGGCCACACUGGAACUGAGACACGGUCCAGACUCCUGCGGGAGGCAGCAGUAGGGAAUCUUCCGCAAUGGGCGAAAGCUUGACGGAACAACGCCGCGUGAGUGAUGAAGGUCUUCGGAUCGUAAAACUCUGUUAUUAGGGAAGAACAAAUGUGUAAGUAACUAUGCACGUCUUGACGGUACCUAAUCAGAAAGCCACGGCUAACUACGUG
RNAcentral lists this ribosomal RNA (497 nucleotides) under uncultured bacterium. RNAcentral's name for it is "partial 16S ribosomal RNA". It matches the Rfam family "Bacterial small subunit ribosomal RNA", at positions 28 to 507 of the family's 1533-position model. The record is from RNAcentral.